Molecule: unclassified non-coding RNA, 216 nt
Filed under: Glomus sp.
Lineage: Eukaryota; Fungi; Glomeromycota; Glomeromycetes; Glomerales; Glomeraceae
Description: partial contains 5.8S ribosomal RNA and internal transcribed spacer 2
Rfam family: 5.8S ribosomal RNA (bases 1-72)
Source: RNAcentral
GUGAAUCAUCGAAUCUUUGAACGCAAAUUGCACUCUCCGGUUUUCCGGGAGAGUAUGCCUGUUUGAGGGUCAGCCUAAAAAAAAUCGACAUUGGGGCUGUUAUUUAAUGGUGACUUUCGUCGGAGAGUGGGUUAUCUUAAACCUUUUUUUUUUUUUUGGUUGAAGGGACGUAAAAUUUUUUUUGAGGAUUCGUUGAAAGAGUCUAGGAUUUUUAUU